CAGCCGCCACGGUAAUACGAAGGGGGCUAGCGUUGUUCGGAUUUACUGGGCGUAAAGCGCACGUAGGCGGACUUUUAAGUCAGGGGUGAAAUCCCGGGGCUCAACCCCGGAACUGCCCUUGAUACUGGGAGUCUUGAGUUCGAGAGAGGUGAGUGGAAUUGCGAGUGUAGAGGUGAAAUUCGUAGAUAUUCGCAGGAACACCAGUGGCGAAGGCGGCUCACUGGCUCGAUACUGACGCUGAGGUGCGAAAGCGUGGGGAGCAAACAGGAUUAGAUACCCGAGUAGUCCCUGUCUCUUAUAC
This 301-nucleotide ribosomal RNA is filed under the name uncultured bacterium. RNAcentral's name for it is "partial 16S ribosomal RNA". It matches the Rfam family "Bacterial small subunit ribosomal RNA", at positions 509 to 807 of the family's 1533-position model. The record is from RNAcentral.